UGAGCUGCUUAUUGGCUUUAUGGGCCUU
This 28-nucleotide small RNA is filed under the name Bombyx mori (domestic silkworm). RNAcentral's name for it is "ovarian small RNA-8228". Lineage: Eukaryota; Metazoa; Arthropoda; Insecta; Lepidoptera; Bombycidae. The record is from RNAcentral.